Molecule: long non-coding RNA, 2199 nt
Filed under: Setaria italica (foxtail millet)
Lineage: Eukaryota; Viridiplantae; Streptophyta; Magnoliopsida; Poales; Poaceae
Description: long non-coding RNA (SITA_LNC003728)
Source: RNAcentral
CACAUUGUCAAAUCAUGGACUAAUUAGGCUUAAUAGAUUCGUCUCGCCGUUUAGCCUCCACUUAUGUAAUCGGUUUUGUAAAUAGUCUAUGUUUAAUACUCCUAAUUAGUAUCUAAACAUUCGAUGUGACGGGUGCUUAAAUUUAAGCAAGUGAACCAAACCAAGCCUUAGAUUAGGUGAAAAAUUAAUUUGGCUUGAAUGCAAAUGCAAUUUGGCCAUCGAUUUUAUUUGCAGUGCGCCUGAUCCUUUGUAGAAUACCACUAGCAAUAGUGGCUGUGAUAUGAUAGUAAAAAUAGCUUGCAAAUCUGUCUUCCGUAUGUGCAGAUUUUGGUUAGCAGAUUUUAUCUUAGAAAUAGGAUGCAAAUAUGUCCUCUGUGAUAAUUAGUUUUGGUAAAAAAGAAUGGAAAUUUGAGUCUGCAUAUCUGAAUGGAAAACUAGAGCUUGGUUGCAUGCACUUUGUUUUCAUCAGGCCCAGUAGUCUAUCAGUGUAGACCAAGUUGACAUUUCCACCCCAGAUUGUAGCAUACACAAGAUUGUUUGAUCUUGGCCAAAUGAUCUGAAUGGCUAGUUGCUCAAAUGUUGGCUGAAAAUACUCCUACGUUUGUGCAUAGAGGGAUCAAAAUGUUUACCUUUGAUGUCCUUGAACCUUUCUUCUUUGUCAGAUUAAACUCUGUUUGGUUGUUACUGCAACUUGAACUACCACUUUUUUUAUGUUUAUGUCCACUUGUAUUGCAUAUCUAUACUUGUCUACCUUCCUUAAAUGUUUCUGAUUCUUAUAGCCCAAACUUUUCAUAAUAUAUUUGUUUGGUAUUUUGUGAAGAUGGUGUUCUCCGACAACAACGAUCUCAUAGCUCAAUGGUGGGUGGAAGAGGAUGAAUAUGAGUCUGAGUCUGAGUCUCAAUGGACAAUUUCUAUAUGCCUAUGUGGUUUUAUGUUUGAAAAUGAAUUUGAAUUUCAAUUGUGGUGUUUGAAAUCAUGAAUUUAAAUAUGGUUAAUUUGUAUGCAUUACAAAUAUUUUUAUUUGAAUUGCUGUUGUGUGAAAUGAAGAUUACACAUAGAAUAUGUAUGGAAAUAUAAGAGAAAAAGAAGUAGGGGCCAUUGCUGGAGUUGUGUAAAAAAAUAGGUCCCAGAAAAGUAGGGAGAGCCCCUAUUCAGGAAGUAGGGCUGGAGUUGUUCUUAGAUGGUGGUUACUAGUACUUCUAUCCGGGGAAGGUCGAGCUUAAUCACGUGGCGCGCCACGAGAUUUUGCUUGAAAAGAGUCUAUCACACGUUGAGCAGAUUAAAAACCAUUUCGACCAGCAGGCUAAAGUGCUAAACACAUCAUUACUUUGGUCGGUUCCUCUUUACAAUAUCAUAAACUAUGUUUUGUCGCAAAUCAUAUUAGCAAACUAAAAAAGAUUAAUCUGGUAAAAAUUCAGUUAACUAUGGUAUGCAACACAAAAUAAAAUAGAUUCGUGUCAUAUAUUAGUUAGUAUAUAUUGGAAUGGUGUUACUUAUGCAAGCUAUAUUAGUUAAAAGAAUUGGUAGGUGAACUGUCUAUUUUGAUAACUUUGCUAGCUACUCCAUCUGUUUCAAAUUUUAGGUCAUUUAGCUUCCUCCAUUUCAAAUUGUAAAAUGCAUUUUAGCUUUUCUAUUAAAUAUAUUUAUCUAUUCAUUUAGAUAACUAUAUCUAAAUACAAAGAAAACUAUGCAUGUUAAAAAGUCAGAACGGCUACAAUUUCAAGACGGAGUAGUAUAGUAGUUAGCAAGCAUGUUUAAUAGAGGGGAUUGCUACUUCACUAUCCCUCCGUGACUUUGCACCAACUGAACAGUUUGCUUUUCUUAAUUGCAAGUGAAUUGUCGUUAUAAAACUGAGCACAGAAAAUAAUGGAGGAAGUAUAUAAAACAAUGUUAAUAUAAUUCUUGUUUAUUUUUGUGAGAGUGGUAGCAUUUAUUCCGUCUUAGGGCCUGUUUGGUUAUGGAUGCUUAUUUAUAAGUUGCUUAUUUGCUUAUUGUAGUUGCUUAUUUAUAAGUCUUAAGUGUUUGAUUUGGGUUGCUUAUUUGCAAUAAAUGAGACUGCUAUUGACACAUUUACCCCUACCAUCCCAUUUCCCACUACCCCUAGUCAAUACCUGGGUAUUGGACCUCCUGGUCCUUCGCGGAGGCGGGGGGCGCGGAGGCGGGCGGCAGGCUGGGAGCGGCGGGGGGCGGAGGCGGCGG